RNAcentral lists this ribosomal RNA (803 nucleotides) under uncultured organism. RNAcentral's name for it is "bacterial SSU rRNA". It matches the Rfam family "Bacterial small subunit ribosomal RNA", at positions 72 to 875 of the family's 1533-position model. The record is from RNAcentral.
AGGCCGCUUCGGUGGUGCUGACGACCGGCGCACGGGUGCGUAACGCGUAUGCAACCUACCUUUAACUGGGACAUAGCCCCGAGAAAUCGGGAUUAAUAUCCCAUAAUAUCCAGAAAACGCAUGUUUUCUGGAUUAAAGUUCCGGCGGUUAAAGAUGGGCAUGCGUGGCAUUAGUUAGUUGGUGAGGUAACGGCUCACCAAGGCAAUGAUGCCUAGGGGUCCUGAGAGGGUUUUCCCCCACACUGGUACUGAGACACGGACCAGACUCCUACGGGAGGCAGCAGUAAGGAAUAUUGGGCAAUAGGCGCAAGCCUGACCCAGCCAUGCCGCGUGCAGGAUGACGGCCCUAUGGGUUGUAAACUGCUUUUGUAUGGGAAAAAACUCCCGCACGUGUGCGGGACUGAUUGUACCAUACGAAUAAGCAUCGGCUAACUCCGUGCCAGCAGCCGCGGUAAUACGGAGGAUGCAAGCGUUAUCCGGAUUUAUUGGGUUUAAAGGGUGCGCAGGCGGAUUAGUAAGUCAGUGGUGAAAGCUCCCGGCUCAACCGGGAAAAUGCCAUUGAUACUGUUAAUCUUGAGUACAGUUGAGGUUGGCGGAAUGUAUCAUGUAGCGGUGAAAUGCAUAGAUAUGAUACAGAACACCGAUAGCGAAGGCAGCUUACCAAACUGUAACUGACGCUCAUGCACGAAAGCGUGGGGAGCAAACAGGAUUAGAUACCCUGGUAGUCCACGCUGUAAACUAUGAUCACUCGCUGUUGGCGAUACACUGUCAGCGGCUUAGCGAAAGUGUUAAGUGAUCCACCUG